Molecule: ribosomal RNA, 258 nt
Filed under: uncultured Streptococcus sp.
Lineage: Bacteria; Bacillati; Bacillota; Bacilli; Lactobacillales; Streptococcaceae
Description: partial 16S ribosomal RNA
Rfam family: Bacterial small subunit ribosomal RNA
Source: RNAcentral
AUUCAGUUGGGCACUCUAGCGAGACUGCCGGUAAUAAACCGGAGGAAGGUGGGGAUGACGUCAAAUCAUCAUGCCCCUUAUGACCUGGGCUACACACGUGCUACAAUGGUUGGUACAACGAGUUGCGAGUCGGUGACGGCGAGCUAAUCUCUUAAAGCCAAUCUCAGUUCGGAUUGUAGGCUGCAACUCGCCUACAUGAAGUCGGAAUCGCUAGUAAUCGCGGAUCAGCACGCCGCGGUGAAUACGUUCCCGGGCCUU